CAUUUUAGCAUAUUUAUUUCUCUUACUGUUUUCUUUUUGAAUUCUGCACAUAUUUAAAGUAGUAUUCCUGAGUAGCAUUGAGAACUAUGUCUAGAUACUCAUGUUGCAACAGAACAAAGGGUGGAGAAAAAAAAAUGUGAUGUAUACAUGUAAGGAUAACUUGAUCCCCUUGCUGUACAGUGGGAAAAUAAAAUUAAAAAAAAAAGUAUGCUUUUGUCACAUAAGUCCAUAUCAUAAGCAUUUUCCUAUGCCAAUAAAAGUCAUUAAAAAAGUGAGGUAAGGAGUUCCUGUCGUGGCUCAGUGGUUAACGAAUCUGACUAGGAACUGCGGGGUUGAGGGUCUGAUCCCUGGCCUUGCUCAGUGGGUUAAGGAUCCGGCGUUGCCGUGAGCUGUGGUGUAGGUCGCAGACACAGCUCGGAUCCCGUGUUGCUGUGGCUGUGGUGUAGGCCGGUGGCUACAGCUCCGAUUGGAACCCUAGCCUGGGAACCUCAAUAUGCUGCAGGAGCGGCCCUAGAAAUGGCAAAAAGACAAAAAAAAAAAAAAAAAAAAAAGUGAAGUAGAAGUUCCUGCCGUGGCUCAGCAGUUAGUGAACCCAACUAGCGUCCAUGGGGAUGCGGGUUCAAUCCCUGGUCUCACUCAGUGGGUUGAGGAUCCAGUGUUGCCGUGGGCUGUGGUGUAGGUUGCAGACUCAGCUUGGAUCCUAUGUUGCUGUGGCUCUGACAUCGGCCAGCAGCUACAGUCCCAUUUGGACCCCUAGCCUGGGAGCCUCCAUAUGCUGCGGGUUCGGUCCUAAAAAAGACGAAAAGACCAAAAAAAAAAAAAAAACCAAAAAGUUGUCACUGCAGCAACUUAGGUCAUUGCUGUGGUGUGGGCUUGAUCCCUGGCCCAGGAACUUCCACAUGCUGACAGACCCCCCCCCCAAAAAAAAAAAACCAAAAAAGCCAUGUAGUAUUGAGUCAAAGCAAACUGCUCAGUAGCGCACUGAGUGUGAUCACAUCUCUAAGGCGACAAGGCAUAGAUGCUUGGAAGUGGGAAAGUAGUAGCUGAGACAGUUACCUUGACGCUGACUGUGCCAGGUCCUAGAGGAGGGACUUCAGAUUUAUUUGCUGAAAAAGAAGGAGCCAUGGGAGGGCUUUGCGCAGAAAAGUAACAGAGCAUGAUUUGAUCAUCAACAUUUGAUCUCUCUGAACCUCAGUUCUGACAUGUAUAUAAUGGGAGUGUUGAACCAAGAACCCCUGAAAUCAUCAUAUAAUCUAAUAUACUAUGAUAGUCUCUAAGUAUUUAAAGAUCUCUUACACAAAGCUGUGGGAAGUGGGGGUAUAGCUCACUAGUAAAGCAUUUGACAGCAUAAAGCCCUGGGAAUGGCUUUAUUCGUCACUGGCUGGUCAUAGCUCUCUCCAAAGGACCCUAACUCUAGUCUCUAUGCUCCCCAACCUGCCGAUGACUUUGCUUUCUUCUCCACUCCGAAGGCAGGUGAUGUCAGUGGGAUGGUCUGCAAGUGCCUUUCCUUCAACCCACAAAGUCUCCCAUGCCUCAGAAGAAAAAGAGUUCCUCUUCCUUUCCAUCCCCUUAAUUUCAUCACCUCUCACACUCGCUAUAAAAAUGAGAAUUGAAACCCCUGAUUUCAUAGGGGUGGGUGAAUGGACUGACUUUGAUUCCUCAUCGGGGAGAGAAUAUCUCCAUUCAUCUGACAGCAAAACAAAGGUUCAGAGAGUAGGAGCUCAGAUUUACACCAGGGAAAAGAGGAAGUACAGAGCUGUGAACACAUCUGCUGGACUCCCCAGCUCUUCCAUCUCACCACUGCCCCCUGGAUGGAAGGCACCCACACGGGAAAAGGCUCAUUCAUUCGUCACCUUUUCGGCUGUUCUGCUCAACAGCAUUAUCAUCUGUGUGCUGCUUUGAUGGUUUAUGUUGACCUGGCUGGGCAUGCUCCUUGGCAAGAUGCCCAUUUGAAAGUCUGUUUACUUGCUUACUGUUGUGAUUUUUCUUAAAUUCUUGGCUGAUAGAGUGUUCUUUUCAAUCAUCGACUUGGACAUUUACAUCCUAAUGCCAGUUAUGCAAAAGAACUCACCAGUAUGGUGUCUUUUACAUAAAGUUCAAAAUGAAACAGUGUGUUCAAGGACACAUCUGUAAUAAAACCACAAAGAAAAGGAAGAACGUGUGUGUGAGUUAGCCAUUGCCACACACACACAAAGUGUUGUUUAAGGCAUUCACGUAAAACUCCACCCGGAAGCCACAAUCAUUUAUUCUCAUGGAACUGGGAGGUGGCUGGCUAGGCUGGGCUCAGCUCUGCUCCCUGUCUCUCAUCCUUCUUCUCAAUGGGCAUGCUAGUCCAAAUAUAUAUAUUUAUCUUAUUUUCUUAAUUUUUUAAUUUUUAAUUUUUUGCUUUUCAGGACAGAACCGGUAGCACAUGGAGGUUCCCAGGCUAGAGGUCGAAUUGGAGCUGCAGCUGCUGGCCUACACCACAGC
RNAcentral lists this long non-coding RNA (2469 nucleotides) under Sus scrofa (pig). Its description in RNAcentral is "lncRNA (ENSSSCG00000060827.1)". The record is from RNAcentral. Lineage: Eukaryota; Metazoa; Chordata; Mammalia; Artiodactyla; Suidae.